Molecule: ribosomal RNA, 278 nt
Filed under: uncultured prokaryote
Description: partial 16S ribosomal RNA
Rfam family: Bacterial small subunit ribosomal RNA
Source: RNAcentral
UACGUAGGGGGCAAGCGUUGUCCGGAAUGACUGGGCGUAAAGGGCGUGUAGGCGGCCGAUUAAGUCUGGAGUGAAAGUCCCGCUUUCAAGGUGGGAAUUGCUUUGGAAACUGGUUGGCUUGAGUGCGGAAGAGGUAAGUGGAAUUCCCAGUGUAGCGGUGAAAUGCGUAGAGAUUGGGAGGAACACCAGUGGCGAAGGCGACUUGCUGGGCCGUAACUGACGCUGAGGCGCGAAAGCGUGGGGAGCGAACAGGAUUAGAUACCCUGGUAGUCCCUGAG